GGUCUAUGAUGAUAAAUUGAAAGGCUUGUUUCUCAAAACAUUCGUAGUGGCCGCAUAAGAGCUUUCUUCUACGUAGACUUGAGAGAUAAUGCUGUUUUAUCCUUCCUUGGAAGUCAGAGACC
This is a non-coding RNA of Spinacia oleracea (spinach), 122 nucleotides long. Lineage: Eukaryota; Viridiplantae; Streptophyta; Magnoliopsida; Caryophyllales; Amaranthaceae. The record is from Rfam.